CCCUUAGACGUUGUGGGCCGCACGCGCGCUACACUGACCAGUGCAACAAGCAUCCGUCCUUGGCCGACAGGCUCGGGCAAUCUUUGAACGCUGGUCGUGAUGGGGAUAGACUUUUGCAAUUUUUGGUCUUCAACGAGGAAUUCCUAGUAAACGCAAGUCAUCAACUUGCAUUGAUUACGUCCCUGCCCUUUGUACACACCGCCCGUCGCACCUACCGAUUGAAUGGUCCGGUGAAGCCUCCGGAUUGGCGCGCACCCCGGUGCCGCCGAGAAGUUGGCUAAACCUUACCAUUUAGAGGAAGGUGAAGUCGUAACA
Molecule: ribosomal RNA, 315 nt
Filed under: uncultured eukaryote
Lineage: Eukaryota
Description: partial 18S ribosomal RNA
Rfam family: Eukaryotic small subunit ribosomal RNA
Source: RNAcentral